This 301-nucleotide ribosomal RNA is filed under the name uncultured bacterium. RNAcentral's name for it is "partial 16S ribosomal RNA". It matches the Rfam family "Bacterial small subunit ribosomal RNA", at positions 509 to 807 of the family's 1533-position model. The record is from RNAcentral.
CAGUAGCCGCGGUAAUACGUAGGUGGCAAGCGUUGUCCGGAAUUAUUGGGCGUAAAGGGCUCGCAGGUGGUUUCUUAAGUCUGAUGUGAAAGCCCCCGGCUCAACCGGGGAGGGUCAUUGGAAACUGGGAAACUUGGGUGCAGAAGAGGAGAGUGGAAUUCCACGUGUAGCGGUGAAAUGCGUAGAGAUGUGGAGGAACACCAGUGGCGAAGGCGACUCUCUGGUCUGUAACUGACGCUGAGGAGCGAAAGCGUGGGGAGCGAACAGGAUUAGAUACCCCCGUAGUCCCUGUCUCUUAUAC